UACGGGGGGGGCAAGCGUUGUUCGGAAUUACUGGGCGUAAAGGGCUCGUAGGCGGCCAACUAAGUCGAACGUGAAAUCCCCAGGCUCAACCUGGGAACUGCGUCCGAUACUGGCAGGCUUGAAUCCGGGAGAGGGAUGUGGAAUUCCAGGUGUAGCGGUGAAAUGCGUAGAUAUCUGGAGGAACACCGGUGGCGAAGGCGGCAUCCUGGACCGGUAUUGACGCUGAGGCGCGAAAGCGUGGGGAGCAAACAGG
RNAcentral lists this ribosomal RNA (253 nucleotides) under uncultured bacterium. RNAcentral's name for it is "partial 16S ribosomal RNA". It matches the Rfam family "Bacterial small subunit ribosomal RNA", at positions 524 to 776 of the family's 1533-position model. The record is from RNAcentral.